CGACGGCGGCGUCCACGGGGCAGAAGAGCGUGAGCCCGUUGUCCUUGGUCGCGUUGAUGUUGCUGUACACGUCGGCGUUCGAGGCGAGGAGGCCGGCGAAGUUCUUGCAGUACUUCUUGGACAGGAGCUCGGUGAGGUUCACCGGCGCCGGCGGGGCCACGGGCGCCUCCGCCUCAGGGGAGGACAGCGGCUUGCUGAUCUGGAG
Molecule: unclassified non-coding RNA, 205 nt
Filed under: Hevea brasiliensis (rubber tree)
Lineage: Eukaryota; Viridiplantae; Streptophyta; Magnoliopsida; Malpighiales; Euphorbiaceae
Source: RNAcentral